Molecule: ribosomal RNA, 253 nt
Filed under: uncultured bacterium
Lineage: Bacteria
Description: partial 16S ribosomal RNA
Rfam family: Bacterial small subunit ribosomal RNA
Source: RNAcentral
UACGUAGGGUGCGAGCGUUAAUCGGAAUUACUGGGCGUAAAGCGUGCGCAGGCGGUUUUGUAAGCCAGAUGUGAAAGCCCCGGGCUUAACCUGGGAAUGGCAUUUGGGACUGCAAGGCUUGAGUGCGGCAGAGGAGACUGGAAUUCCUGGUGUAGCAGUGAAAUGCGUAGAUAUCAGGAGGAAUACCGAUGGCGAAGGCAGGUCUCUGGGCUGACACUGACGCUCAGGCACGAAAGCGUGGGGAGCAAACAGG